GGGUGUGUAGUUCAGUCCGGAAGAACCGCUGAGGGCGCGAGUCCGCGCGGCGCGUCGUUCGCGAGAGGGGAGUGCUCGGACAGCAGGUCAGCAGGCCCGGGGUUCGAAUCCCCGCAUACCCA
RNAcentral lists this transfer RNA (122 nucleotides) under Haloterrigena alkaliphila. Its description in RNAcentral is "Haloterrigena sp. KZCA68 tRNA-OTHER". Lineage: Archaea; Methanobacteriati; Methanobacteriota; Halobacteria; Halobacteriales; Natrialbaceae. The record is from RNAcentral.